CUCUGGGUGAUGUAAUCAGUUAACAUGCUUGGCUGCUAACCAAAGGGUUGAAGGUUUGAGUCCACCCAGAGA
Molecule: transfer RNA, 72 nt
Filed under: Loxodonta africana (African savanna elephant)
Lineage: Eukaryota; Metazoa; Chordata; Mammalia; Proboscidea; Elephantidae
Rfam family: tRNA
About the family: Transfer RNA (tRNA) molecules are approximately 80 nucleotides in length. Their secondary structure includes four short double-helical elements and three loops (D, anti-codon, and T loops).
Source: Rfam by way of RNAcentral